GAUGAACGCUGGCGGCGUGCCUAAUACAUGCAAGUCGAGCGAAUGGAUUAAGAGCUUGCUCUUAUGAAGUUAGCGGCGGACGGGUGAGUAACACGUGGGUAACCUGCCCAUAAGACUGGGAUAACUCCGGGAAACCGGGGCUAAUACCGGAUAAUAUUUUGAACUGAAUGGUUCAAAAUUGAAAGGCGGCUUCGGCUGUCACUUAUGGAUGGACCCGCGUCGCAUUAGCUAGUUGGGGAGGUAACUGCUCACCAAGGCAACGAUGCGUAGCGGACCUGAGAGGGUGAUCGGCCACACUGGGACUGAGACACGGCCCAGACUCCUACGGGAGGCAGCAGUAGGGAAUCUGCCGCAAUGGACGAAAGUCUGACGGAGCAACGCCGCGUGAGUGAUGAAGGCUUUCGGGUCGUAAAACUCUGUUGUUAGGGAAGAACAAGUGCUAGUUGAAUAAGCUGGCACCUUGACGGUACCUAACCAGAAAGCCACGGCUAACUACGUGCCAGCAGCCGCCGUAA
RNAcentral lists this ribosomal RNA (515 nucleotides) under uncultured bacterium. RNAcentral describes it as "partial 16S ribosomal RNA". It matches the Rfam family "Bacterial small subunit ribosomal RNA", at positions 28 to 523 of the family's 1533-position model. The record is from RNAcentral.